Molecule: ribosomal RNA, 253 nt
Filed under: uncultured bacterium
Lineage: Bacteria
Description: partial 16S ribosomal RNA
Rfam family: Bacterial small subunit ribosomal RNA
Source: RNAcentral
UACGUACGAGGCGAGCGUUAUCCGGAAUUACUGGGCGUAAAGCGCGCGCAGGUGGACGUCUAAGUUGGGCGUGAAAUCUCCCGGCCUAACUGGGAGGGGUCGCCCAAGACUGGGCGUCUUGAGGAUGGCAGAGGUAGGUGGAAUUCCUGGUGUAGUGGUGAAAUGCGUAGAGAUCAGGAGGAACACCGGUGGCGAAGGCGGCCUACUGGGCCAUCACUGACGCUGAGGCGCGAAAGCUCGGGGAGCGAACGGC